UGGAGGUGUGUGUAAGCGACAAGUUACAGUCCACUGUAAGGCUGGGUGGAGGUGUGUGUGUGACAAGUUACAGUCCACUGUAAGGCUGGGUGGAGGUGUGUGUGUAAGUGACAAGUUACAGUCCACUGUAAGGCUUGGUGGAGGUGUGUGUGUAAGCGACAAGUUACAGUCCACUGUAAGGCUGGGUGGAGGUGUUUGUGUAAGUGACAAGUUACUGUCCACUGUAAGGCUGGGUGGAGGUGUGUGUGUGACAAGUUACAGUCCACUGUAAGGCUGGGUGGAGGUGUUUGUGUAAGUGACAAGUUACAGUCCACUGUAAGGAUGGGUGGAGGUGUGUGUGUAAGCGACAAGUUAAAGUCCACUGUAAGGCUGGGUGGAGGUGUGUGUGUAAGCGACAAGUUACACUCCACUGUAAGGCUGGGUGGAGGUGUGUGUGUGUGUAAGUGACAAGUUACAGUCCACUGUAAGGCUGGGUGGAGGUGUGUGUGUGUGUGUGUGUGAAGUUACAAGUUACACUCCACUGUAAGACUGGGUGGAGGUGUGUGUAAGUGACAAGUUACAGUCCACUGUAAGGCUGGGUGGAGGUGUGUGUGUGGCAAGUUACAGUCCACUGUAAGACUGGGUGGAGGUGUGUGUGUAAGUGACAAGUUACAGUCCACUGUAAG
Long non-coding RNA from Haliotis rubra (blacklip abalone), 665 nucleotides. RefSeq lists it as uncharacterized. Lineage: Eukaryota; Metazoa; Mollusca; Gastropoda; Lepetellida; Haliotidae. The record is from RefSeq and is a predicted model, not a curated record. The transcript is spliced from 4 exons.